This 742-nucleotide ribosomal RNA is filed under the name Bordetella sp. RNAcentral's name for it is "bacterial SSU rRNA". It matches the Rfam family "Bacterial small subunit ribosomal RNA", at positions 49 to 788 of the family's 1533-position model. Lineage: Bacteria; Pseudomonadati; Pseudomonadota; Betaproteobacteria; Burkholderiales; Alcaligenaceae. The record is from RNAcentral.
CUUUCCAUGCAGUCGACGGCAGCGCGGACUUCGGUCUGGCGGCGAGUGGCGAACGGGUGAGUAAUGUAUCGGAACGUGCCCAGUAGCGGGGGAUAACUACGCGAAAGCGUAGCUAAUACCGCAUACGCCCUUUGGGGGAAAGCGGGGGACCUUCGGGCCUCGCACUAUUGGAGCGGCCGAUAUCGGAUUAGCUAGUUGGUGGGGUAAAGGCCUACCAAGGCGACGAUCCGUAGCUGGUUUGAGAGGACGACCAGCCACACUGGGACUGAGACACGGCCCAGACUCCUACGGGAGGCAGCAGUGGGGAAUUUUGGACAAUGGGGGCAACCCUGAUCCAGCCAUCCCGCGUGUGCGAUGAAGGCCUUCGGGUUGUAAAGCACUUUUGGCAGGAAAGAAACGGCCUUGGAUAAUACCUGAGGCAACUGACGGUACCUGCAGAAUAAGCACCGGCUAACUACGUGCCAGCAGCCGCGGUAAUACGUAGGGUGCAAGCGUUAAUCGGAAUUACUGGGCGUAAAGCGUGCGCAGGCGGUUCGGAAAGAAAGAUGUGAAAUCCCAGAGCUUAACUUUGGAACUGCAUUUUUAACUACCGGGCUAGAGUGUGUCAGAGGGAGGUGGAAUUCCGCGUGUAGCAGUGAAAUGCGUAGAGAUGCGGAGGAACACCGAUGGCGAAGGCAGCCUCCUGGGAUAACACUGACGCUCAUGCACGAAAGCGUGGGGAGCAAACAGGAUUAGAUACCCU